RNAcentral lists this transfer RNA (74 nucleotides) under Candidatus Latescibacterota bacterium. Its description in RNAcentral is "Latescibacterota bacterium tRNA". It matches the Rfam family "tRNA". From Rfam's summary of the family: Transfer RNA (tRNA) molecules are approximately 80 nucleotides in length. Their secondary structure includes four short double-helical elements and three loops (D, anti-codon, and T loops). Lineage: Bacteria; Pseudomonadati; Candidatus Latescibacterota. The record is from Rfam by way of RNAcentral.
AGGCCUGUAGCUCUAACGGCUAGAGCACCUGACUCCAAAUCAGGGGGUUGGGGGUUCAAAUCCCUCCAGGCCUG